GAAGGGGGCUAGCGUUGUUCGGAAUUACUGGGCGUAAAGCGCACGUAGGCGGAUCGAUCAGUCAGGGGUGAAAUCCCGCAGCUCAACUGCGGAACUGCCUUUGAUACUGUCGGUCUAGAGUAUGGAAGAGGUGAGUGGAAUUCCGAGUGUAGAGGUGAAAUUCGUAGAUAUUCGGAGGAACACCAGUGGCGAAGGCGGCUCACUGGUCCAUUACUGACGCUGAGGUGCGAAAGCGUGGGGGGCAAACAGGAUUAGAUACCCUGGUAGUCCACGCCGUAAACGAUGAAUGUUAGCCGUCGGCAAGUUUACUUGUCGGUGGCGCASSUAACGCAUUAAACAUUCCGCCUGGGGAGUACGGUCGCAAGAUUA
Molecule: ribosomal RNA, 369 nt
Filed under: uncultured bacterium
Lineage: Bacteria
Description: bacterial SSU rRNA
Rfam family: Bacterial small subunit ribosomal RNA
Source: RNAcentral